CACAUUUUCUUUGAAAUAUUCAAAAUAUAUUCAAGUUAUUUUCAAAACUGAAGCUCCAAAUGGCCAUUUGUCUUAUAAUGUUAUUUUCUAAUGAAAAUCUUGGCCAUGACAGUGAGUGGUAUUUUAUUGAGGUGUAUGUGUGGUAUGUUCUAGUUGGUAUCACCUAAGUUCAGAAAAGGUGUUGAACACAUCUCUGAAUUUUGCCUGCCAUCUAAUGUAUAUAAAUCUGCUUUUAAUCCCCAAAAAGAAUAUUCAUACUUUGUUUUGUUAGAAAAUUAUCAAAAGUUGGUUGUAGAAAUUCUGUUUAUGAGAACUGUCUAAAACUUGCAAAUCAUCUAUUCCCUUAGACACUUAACUUUAUAUUUAAAUAAUGGACCGCUAAAGUUUGGAAUAGAAUUUUGUUUGCUAAACCAUCCCUUGGGGCUAUAUCUGUAUUAAAUUUGAGAAGGUUUAAUUUUUAGAAAAUCUAACAAGUUUUUACCAUAAGCAUGUUGUCAGAUUUUGCUUAUGAUAUCCCAGUGUCCUUUUUAUGAGGACCAGGAGAGAAGCUUCUUUGAGACUUCAUAUCACAAAUAGCUGGAAUUAACCUAAGAAACUAGUAUCUUUUUACUGUGGGACACUAUGGAACUUACAACUACACUUUUCGCUAUUGUUUGACUGCUAGAAAGAAAAAAGUCAAAUCUGCAAGCCAGUUCUGGCAAAAUUCUUAGAGCAGAUAUUUUUGAUACAAUUUUUACCUCCAACUUUGCUUUCCUCUGUCCUACCCCCAUUCAUCUUCCUCCCUUAUUCACCAUCAAGUUCAAAAUGUGUAUUUUUUGUCAGCUCCUGCUAAUUCUGUCUGGAGUGAGCUGGGAGGUAAUUAACUAGUUAAUAAAUUAAUUACUAGCUACAUUGAGCAACAUGCUUUUUUCUCCUCUUCAGUCCAGUGCUUGCUUUUAUUUACUCCUCUCAUCUAUUCAUGUCUUCUUGUAAUAUGGCUACAGCUUGCCCACCUGCUUCGGCGUGUCUGUCAGGACAAUCUGAUGGGAGUGACCAGUCCCACAAAGCCUGGAACUAGAAGCUGCUGGGCCCUUUCCCAAUGUGGUCACCAACUCAGUUAUCAGCCUUUCUUGAAAGAACAACAUUGAAAUAAAUCCUCAAGGAACAGAGAGAGCCAGUUAACAAGUGAGGUUCCUAGGUGAGGCUGAAGCUGCUGAUUCUGGCACCAUAACUGGAGAAAUACUGGCUGUGAUCCAACAGAGUACUGCAAGUAAAUAAAAUAAAAUAAAGGUAUGUUCA
Molecule: long non-coding RNA, 1278 nt
Filed under: Sus scrofa (pig)
Lineage: Eukaryota; Metazoa; Chordata; Mammalia; Artiodactyla; Suidae
Description: lncRNA (ENSSSCG00050016710.1)
Source: RNAcentral